RNAcentral lists this ribosomal RNA (300 nucleotides) under uncultured Methanofollis sp. RNAcentral describes it as "bacterial SSU rRNA". It matches the Rfam family "Bacterial small subunit ribosomal RNA", at positions 492 to 795 of the family's 1533-position model. The record is from RNAcentral. Lineage: Archaea; Methanobacteriati; Methanobacteriota; Methanomicrobia; Methanomicrobiales; Methanomicrobiaceae.
GCCAGCGAUGUGCCUGAGGGGGCGGUGAUACGGAUGGUGCGGUCGCUGUCCGGAAUGUCUGGGCGUAAAGGGCUUGUUGGCGGUUGUUCGCGUCGAUUGUGAAAACUUGCAUCGCAACUGCAAGCUUGCAGUCGAUACGGGCGGACGAGAGUACUUCAGGGGAGACUGGAAUUCCUGGUGUAGCGGUGAAAUGCGCAGAUAUCAGGAGGAACACCGGUGGCGAAGGCGGGUCUCUGGGAAGUAACUGACGCUGAGAAGCGAAAGCGUGGGUAGCGAACAGGAUUAGAUACCCUAGUAGUC